Long non-coding RNA from Rhinopithecus roxellana (golden snub-nosed monkey), 1704 nucleotides. RefSeq lists it as uncharacterized. The transcript is spliced from 3 exons. The record is from RefSeq and is a predicted model, not a curated record. NCBI's taxonomy places the organism in Eukaryota, Metazoa, Chordata, Mammalia, Primates, Cercopithecidae.
CUUGCCACCGCCAUGUUAAGAAGUGCCUCUCGCCUCACACCAUGAUUCUGAGGACUCCCCAGCCACGUGGAACUGACAUGUGCCUUGGGAGUCCUGAACCACCAACAAGAAUUUGGCUACCCUGGAUCACCAUGCUGGUGAGACCACAUGGAACAAACAUACAGAGAUGCCCAAUGAGCUCCAGUUCUGCCAGUACCUAGUUGCUCAAGUCUUCCAAAAAAUUCACAACUACUUGGAUGGUGGAGAGAGAACAACAACAACAAAAAAAGAAAGUCUACAACUAUAUCAUUCCUAAAAAGAAGAAAAGAAUUAGUCUUGUGAGAAUUUUACCGUGCUUAGAUGACAAAACGGAGUGGGAAGCUCUUGUAAACAAUUUAUGCAAAGAGUAGACUCUGCCUAGGUUAUCUUUGGUCCUAAAAAAUAUUUGUUGAAAAAUUCCGUAAUACUAAAAAAUAGUUAUCCUCAAAAUUAAUAUCUCAUAUCUUAUAGGGUCAAAUAGAUCUGGUUUCAAAUUCUGGCCCUGCCAUACAGUAGCUAUAACACAGUGGGAAAAUUACUAAACAGUCUCAGAGGCUGCAUUUUUUUGGCUGAGGACUGUAAGAAUGAGUUACAGGUUAAAAAUGCACAGAAAAUACAAUAAAUCAAGUUAAAUUUCCAUAACCAGUAUUCUGUAUUAAAUAUCAUAAGAGCUUUAUUUCCCCUUACACUCCCAUGAGAAUGACAUCCCACAUUAUCUCACAGCGUACCUCACUAUAAGCCCCACAAAGGCAGGUAUUUUUAGGCUUUGUUUGAUACUCUAUAUCCAGCACUGAGAACGGUGUGUAGCAAGUAAUAGGUGCUCAAGAAAUAUUUGAUGAAUAUUUUACUGAGUAAAUCAUUUACUGAAUAAACUGGGCUAAGAAGCUGAAACUAAAGUCUCAGUAAUCAAAAGAAUUGAGUAAUCAAACAUGUGUUUUCAAAAAUAAUUUACUAACCAGCUUUUAUGUGGUAUUUGCUCAUGUAUCACUGGACUUCAUACAACUUAACCGCUAUGAGUUGAAAUAUCUCAACUAAAUGGUGAUAAUGUUUGUUCUAUCUAAUUUACAGGAUCAUCCUGAGGGUAAAAUAAAAACUUGUUUAGAAGACUUUAAGGCCCUUUAUCAAAGAAAAAAAAAGCAAAAAAAAAAAAGAAAGUCAACCAGUCCUUCUCUUCGCCAGACUACAGAAAGGCACCAAGAGAUGGACAGGAACAUAGCUUACUCAGCCAGAUCACGUAAAUAUACAAAGAGCUUAGGAAACUUGAAAGCACCGUCCAUAUGGGUGCUUUAUGUGCCAGAAACUACAUGAUUGCCUUAUUUAAUCUUCAGAACAGCUCUGUGAGGUAAACACAAAUAUCUCCAGUUUAGAGAUCACAAAACUCAACUUUCCAGCGGUUAAGUAAAUUGUUCAGUCACCCAAGUCUGUCGGGUUCUAAAGCCACCAUACACUAUCUUUCUUCUGCAGAUAUAACAAUUCAAAGAGGGAACUUGUAAUUGAAUCAAAAUUCUAUUAAUGCAAAUACAAAUUAAAAAUAACCUCACUCAUCAGUACACAUAGCCAAAAACAUCAUAUUUAAAUAAUACCUUGAUUAGGCUUUGCAUCCUGGGCCUAUUUGCCCCACUCUUUAUACAAAAUAAUUAUAAAACUACUUGAGAAAUUAAAUGGCCUCAGGUUUAAACGCCACAC